AAGCCGUCCCCAUUGAUCAAUUCUUCCUUCUGACAAAGGAGCCAAUCUGUGAGGACAAGCAUCGGCAAAGACUCUCCAUUCAUUCUCAUUCCUGUCCCACCAAACCACGACAUCAAGCCCCAACACUUUCUUUGCAUGGGGGACUCUCUUGUCCAAAUCACACACCGGCAUCAAUGGAUACCACUGUGAGAACCAAUCAAAUUUUUCCUCUUGUGAGUUAGUUUCAGGCUCUGUCUCUGGUGGGUCUGUGGCUUCAGUUGAAACUUGAGAUGAUGGUGAUAAGGUGGUGAAGAGUUUGGAUGGUUUUGAUGAGAAAGAUGAUAAAGUGGAUAGUGGACUGAAGUGGAAGCUUAAGAGCUUGGGCUUAGCAGUGAAGUGGGUUCUGUUGUACUUAAGUUUUAAUGGAGUGUUAUAAAAUGGUGAAACUGAGGAGAGUAAGAGAGCUUCCAUGGCUGCAUGCAACACCUUACUCUGCACAAAAAUCGAGAUCAAGCAAGGUUAGAACUCGAGAUAAUUAUAGCUAAUUGCGAAUGAACGUGCGCCACAUGAGUCAUGAUCAGUGGACUCUGACCGUGACGCUGAAAAGUCCAACAUAAAUUAAUGCGUCUCUUAUGUUUGUGUCUUUCAUUUCAUUUCCUUGUAGUUGAAUCAGUCAACAUUUGUUGAGUCCAACUGAAUAAGUCAGGAGUCGUUGAGUGAUUUAAUAGCGCUAUACAAGUAGUGUGAAUGGAUGCCACAAAAUUAUUCAAUAGCUAAGCCGUUUUAUUUGACUGCUACGGGGGCCAAGGCUCCUCACUAUGCUAAACAGCCUCCGUAGAUUAUCUGCCAUCGAAAAUUCGCCGGAAAAAAAGAGAACGUCCCCUCAGUACCAGAUUCAAUUUUUAUUUGUUCAUGUAUGAGGAUAAUGAGAUGAGUUGGCUAGCUUUUGCAAAAUAUUUGUAGAGUAAUUGUUAAGGUCAAAAUUAUGUUUUAGGAUUUCUUUUUUUUUAUUAUUAUUAUUUGAAAAUUGGAAUUUUAUUUAAGAAAAAAGCAUAAUUUUAUCAAAUUAUAAUUAUGUUUGUGUAAGGCGACGCAUUUACUCGAUUUAUAAGUUUUGUUGAAUUUUUAUUAAUUUUCUUUUGGCACUUUAAAACAAACAUUUUACAUUUUUUUUUUAUAUUUUGUAAUAUUUAUGGAAAACAUUCUGUAUGAAGAACAUUUUUGCAUCUCUUUACUAGCGUACAUGCAUUAUUCAUGGUUAAGUUACACCUAAAUUAAUGGGUGAAUUGCAUUUUUCCUUGAGAAUUAAUAUUAGACAUGCAAAAUUAUGAACUUUUUAAUUUUAUGGGCAACAAUGUUGACUAUAUAAAUGAGAUGGUUUUUAGUUACAACUAAAUGAAUUAUUUUGGAAGCGUAUGUUUAACUAAUUAGACUAAAAUUAAUUUCAAAAAUAAAAACUUGACUUGUUUUGGUCAAAAUUGACUAAAAUUAAUUUCUAUUAUCUUAGUCAUGUAGGACAUGCAUAAGAUAAUGGACUAUUUUUACUAUAAAUUAUGUUGAAAUAAUGUAUCGUAUGUGUUAAGUCACCGACCAUAUUAAGUAGUUAAUGAUACGAUUCAACAUUACUAGUAAUAUCAUGGUAAAUGAAAAUAUCACCUAAUAAUUAAAGUUUUAAAUUCCUCUCAGAAAUUAAAAAAAAAAUUGAAUUAGCAGGUGUGACUUUUCUUUUGAAAUGACAUUACAUGAACUAGCAUUGCUAAUCAAAACAUAUCAUAAAUUGAAAUAAAUUUCUUUUCUUUUUUUUUCUUCUCUAUAACUUUUGCUCAUUUACAUUGAAGACCCAAAUAGUCGCUGGUGUGGGCUCGGCUGCGGAGCCCACGCCAGAUUUUGGAUAGAAAUCAUCAAAGGCUAAAAGUAGACCAUCUCAUUUGUCAAUUUCCACCAUUUUCUUAAGUAAAUAUAUACUUUGUAUCAUUAGUAAUGUGUCAUUAGCAAUUAAUUGACAUGUCUUAGCCUCUUAGGCGCCAAUUGGUUUUAGCUUUCAUUAUUGAUAAGAUAAUAUUACAUCACCAAUUAAAUGUUGACACAUCAUUGUUCAUAUCAUUUGGGGUGUAAAUUAUUUAUUCCAAUUGUAUAUUUGUAGCAUAACUCUUUCUUAUAUACACCUACUUAGAAGUUCUUUAAUCUAUUUUUUUCUUAUAUCUUCAAGCAAGAAUAUUAAAAGGACAUUGUCGUUGGAUUUCGAUUCAUGCUUUUACAGUCUUCUAGUAAAGAAAAAAGAUCGAGAAAAGAUAAUGGAAAUUUAUAUAUCAACAGCCAAUUGAAUAAGGAAUGAGAUCAACUAAAAAAAAACAGUAGCAGAAGUAGUCCAAUAACUAUUUUAUAAAUUUAGGAAAAGAAUAAAAUGUAUAUAGACUCAUCUUCCCUUUAAAAUACUUGUUUGGUAUAAUUUAUCUAACGGCUAUAAGUACUUAUUUAAUUUUAUAAGCUCUUUUUAAAUUAGUUAUUAGUGUUUUUUUAGUUGAUCUUUUUGAGUUCAAAUAAGUUAAUUUGUCUCCAUUAACAAAAUCUGGAAUUUGAGCUUUUAUGAAUGAAGAUUAAAGAACUUUUAAAUAUAUAUAUCAACAAUACCUGAAGAACAUUUCAUUAAUUACAUAAUACCCUUAUUUAUAUAUAAAACCUACAUAAUAACAAUUAAUUGCCACCAUUUGAUAAAAAACUAAUUGCUGCUACUUCUUUUUUUUUUUUUUUAUUCUAAUGAGAUUGCUACUGCUUUACUUAUUUUAUAAAAAACCUUACACAAAAUAAAUUAUUGCCAUCAUUUGAUAGAAAACUCAUUGUCACAACUUUGGUGAGGUGCAUAGCAGGUAUCGAUGUUUCCCUCAUCACUGUUAAAAUAAAUCUAGUUUAUUAGAAAUAUGAUGAACACAUUUCACUAUGCUACUAUUUGAUAUUUGAUACUUGCUACAGUUUUCAUUCUUCUUUUUAUUAUCUUAUUCAAGAAUGCAUGCCAAUUAUUAAUUUAUAUUUGAAAUUCAUUUCAUCUUCAUUUUAUUUGUGCAUUAUGUUUUUCAUGUAAUAAUAUUACAUAUCCUUUGUCUAGAAUCGUAACUGUUGCAAAGGAAAAGUAAAUCAAAGGCAGAUUGGGAUGAUGUUACCACUGGUGCUUUUAUUAAGAUUUGUAUGAGUGAGACAUUAGCUUGGAAUCAAACCAAAUAGUCACUUUAAUAUGAUUGGGUGGAAAAGUCUCGUUGCUAAUUUUUAUUCUAUGACCAAUGGAGAUUAUGAAUAGAAACAUUGAAAAAUAAGUGGGACAUCCUAAAAUAGAUUGGCAACUUUGGACAAACUUGCUGAGAAUGAAAUUGGUUUAGGAUGGGAUGUUGUAAAACAGACAAAUACUACUAGCGAUGACUGAUGGGAGAGAGGAUUGAAGUUGCAAAUUCUAACCUUCUUAUUUUUUGGUGUACUAGGAAAUGAUUUUAGGAGCAAUUUAGACAUAUUUUUUAACGCAUAAUCCUUUUGUAUUAUUGUAGGAGAUUCUCAAAACAAUUAAAAUUCGUUAUAAAGGCUUGAGAAAUGUUGACCAAUUAGAAAUUUUGUUUAAAGAUAUUGUUGCGCCAUCUAUGGGUUUUGUACCAAAUGAUGGUGAUAUUUAACCAUCUAAUUAAUAUGCUAGUAAAUAUAAUAAUACAUAUUUUUAGGAGAAGAAUGUCAAUAUUGAACUAACUAAUUUUGAUGGGUUAGAAAAUAUUGAGACUACACAUGAUAACGGAAGGAAAAGAAAAUUAUCAAUUGGAGUAAAUUAGUGUGUAAUGAGUUAGACUUUUGCAAAAAUUUUGUAGAGUAAUUAUUAAGGUCACAAUUUUGUUUUGGGAUUUCUUUUUUUAAUUAUUUAAACAAUGGAAUUUUAUUUAAGAAAGGUAUAAUUUUAUCAACCUGGGUGUUAGGAACUUUUUUUAAUAGAAUAUGUGUUAGGAUUCUAAUUAUAUGAAGUAGUGAAAUUCUAAUCUUAUGAAAUUAUUGAAAAACAAAACAACUAAUUCUUUAAAUUGUGGAUUGAUUUCUCGCAAUUGAUUCAAAUUAGCCUUUUAUAUUCAUGGCGUAUGACACUGUGUCCAAAUCACCCACCAACAUCACUAGAUACCAUUGUGAAAACUAGUAAAAAUGUUCUUCUUGUGUUCAUUCUGAAGCCGUGGUUCAGUUGUGUAUACGUUUUCUCUUGCAAUUGUUAAUGGUGAUGAUAAUGUACUUACAAUUACAACUGCUAAUGGUGAUGAUAAUUAUAUGUUUUCUAUUACAACUGCACUUUCUAAUUUCACUUGAUCAAAAUGUUUGCAUACAAGCUACAUUCCAGUAUUUACGUACAGAAAAAUAAGUUGUAUUUACAUAUUCUAAUUUUCGACGUUAAAUGCUAAGCUCAGCGAAGGGCAUGAUUGUAGUCAUGAUAAUGAAAGGUUUUGUAGAUGAAGUGAGACAACCAUUUUGAAGCCGCAAAGCAGAUUACUGCAAAUGAGAUGAUUGUAGUUCUUGUAGCCAUUGACAUGGCAUUCUGCUUGGUUGUAGCAACAAUCCCAAUUGAAGCAAUGGAGACGACUUGUAGCGUGACCUCAAGUGCGCUGAGACUCUUGUGUGCCGCAUUGCAACUUUUGCAAUUCACCACAUGAGACCAGUACCUGCAAAUUUGAAUAAAAUUCCUUUAAUUAAGUACGAAAUCUUAUGUUUUAAUGGGGUCACAACAAACUUCACAGUGUUCCCGUUUUCAAGGCAUUGCAUAAGAAAUUUGGCAAAACACAAAAGAAAAUGUUUCUCAAGCUUGAAGAAACAAAUAAUGCUUCUUUUAAAUAUCCAUAAACCUCUGCUCUUUAUAUGAGUUUCAAAACUGGGAACUACUGUAAAAUCCCAUGACAUGGUGUUAAGGGGUUCAAGUUUAUAAAAGUGAAGCCCAGAUACCUGUCCAUGAGCUGUUCCCUGGGCGGUGUUGGUGGAAGAGUCGCAUUGAAUUUCCCUCCCCAAUUGAAUUGGCCACCGGCAUAUUUUUUUAACCACCUCCUGAAACCAACUACCAGGGCAUCGGCUUUUGUUGGCACAAAACAAGCUUUCUGCCAAUUAGCAGGGCCAACAUCCAUUAUCUUUCGCUCCUGCAGAGAGAAACAGAAGUCAGGUAAUUCACAGCCAGAAACAAGAAAGAAUCUAUUAAAUUCUUCUAUUGUAGGAGAGUAGUAUUUAAGUGAAUACCUUCUAUUGAGAAGAAAAACAAAAAUAUGCUUUUUGGAUGGUGUCACAACCAAUCUAGUAAAAUGAAAUGGUCGACGAGUCUCAAAUCUGAGUUUGAGGCCUAGACUAGCAGUAGACUUGAACGCCAAUCCACUCAGCAUUUUCAAAAAACUUUAGGUUAAAAUUAUUUUAGCAUACAGAGACAGGAAUCACCUCAACGUGAAGCAGGUAUAAAUCUGAAUCAAGAAUUAGAUUCUGUCCAAUAUGAAAUAUCCACCGCGGAACAACUUUGUCUAUCCAAGUUUGAAAGUUUCUUGGGAACGCCCAUAUUAAUCUGCUGUGACCAGGACUAACUGGAACACAAAUAAAAAUCAGAGCUGCUCUUUGUUGCUCCAGCUUCUGCACCAACCGAAAUGUAUAUGGAUAAAAGAAAGCCCAAACAGCAUAGAAUAAGAACUGAAAAGAGUGCAAAAUUCUACUGUCAGCUGAGCAUAAUGAAACAUAUUGACCUUUACCUUUUCGGCUCCUGCUGAUGAUGCAGAUCCAUUUUCUUGAUCCUUCAUAAGAUCAGUAUAAGCAAAAAAGAUACAAGGUGCCAAAAAUUUGCUACUUCCCCACUCCUGCUUUCCAAUGAAACCAUUUAUGUCUAUUUUAUUGACACUCAUUUCAACUGGUCUUCCCCCUUCUCUAUCGAGCUUCACUGUAAAGAAAAUUUAGUAUUAACUAAUAGGUUUUAUUCACGAAGAGAAUAUAAAUGACUUAAACGUAGAACAAGGUUUAUCUAGGAAUUUAUCAACCUUUGGGUUUCCUUGUACGCAUCAAUCCGUAAUGUGCAUAUGGAACAUGAGCAGGGUCCAUAAGAUUUUCCAAUAAGACCUCAUAACUGAAAAUGCAACUUACUUGCAAUUAGAAAAAGUUGUUAACUUGCAUUGACCAGGUUGUCAUUACACUUAAGUUCAACUAGUUUUCUUAAUGACUCUUGCCAAAUAUCAGUAUAGUACAAAUUCAAUCUAGAAUUUCGUGUGCUAACUCGCUCAAAUUAAAAUGGAAGACUGGAUCAUUGCAUACCCAUAAGGUAUAUCUCUGUUCCCAAACAAUUUUGUGAAUGACGGGUCAUCUAGUUCCGGGAUGUGAGGAGGUUUCUUAGUCUUGAUAAUAUCCUUGUACCGAGGAGCAAUAUUUGGCCAAAACCAUACGAUGUCAUGCUGGACGGUACUUGGAUAAACUGCUGCACAUGCUUUCUCGAAUGUGUGGACCUACAUAUUUUGACAAAUAAGUUGGUAAAAAUUAAAGCAAUCAGCCACCCAGCAAAGUAGAAAUCUUAACAACUGCAUGCAAGAACAAAAAAUCAAAACUAGAUUGCAGAAAAAUCAAAACAAAAUUUUAUCAAGCAAGCAAUGGAAUCAUAAUUCAUGUAUUCCCCUUAUCUUUCAUUGUUCCUUCACAAUUAAACUGAAGAUGAGAGGUGUGGCGGCUUUACCAAACAUUUAAUUAGCUACUGCUCUUUCAGAAUUAAACGUAUCCCCUUGGAAUUAGACCCUUGACCUAUUUUAUUACUUCCAGUCUGUAAGUCCUUCCGGGAUAGCUUUCGGGCAAAAAACGCGCUGAAGCGCAACAAUUAUAAACAAACAAACUCUAUGCCUAGAAGAGAUUCUAAUUGGACAAAACUAUAGCAUCUCACUCUACACAUAAGCGAGACAACCGCAAAAGCAUCUAUAGCAACACAAAACAUAAUAAAACAUAUGAAUGUGAUGCAAAAGUGAAGCAAUAGAUGUUACCGGGGGGCCGUCUGGGGGAGCCUGAGGGAUAAAUUUACAGUCACCCGAGCCACUGAAGCACCAGCCAUGAUACACACACUGAAGCCUUCCCCAUUGAUCAAUUCUUCCUUCUGACAAAGGAGCCAAUCUGUGAGGACAAGCAUCAGCAAAGACUCUCCAUUCAUUCUCAUUCCUGUCCCACCAAACCACGACAUCAAGCCCCAACACUUUCUUUGCAUGAGGGACUCUCUUGUCCAAAUCACACACCGGCAUCAAUGGAUACCACUGUGAGAACCAAUCAAAUUUCUCCUCUUGUGAGUUAGUUUCAAGCUCUCUUUCUGGUG
Molecule: long non-coding RNA, 7294 nt
Filed under: Citrus x clementina
Lineage: Eukaryota; Viridiplantae; Streptophyta; Magnoliopsida; Sapindales; Rutaceae
Description: Citrus clementina (C. clementina) long non-coding RNA (CCLE_LNC005156)
Source: RNAcentral